This 879-nucleotide ribosomal RNA is filed under the name Triticum aestivum (bread wheat). RNAcentral's name for it is "partial small subunit ribosomal RNA". The record is from RNAcentral. Lineage: Eukaryota; Viridiplantae; Streptophyta; Magnoliopsida; Poales; Poaceae.
GCGGGGGCGUGCUGGAGAGCGGGGAGGAGUAGGAGGGUACACUGCGGUGUCGUGCCCGCCCCUGCGGCAAGCGGCUACGAGCUCGCGGGUCCGGCAAGCGGCGGGUUCACCAGGCGGCGUGGCGGAGGGGGGUAGGAGGGCGCAGCAGCGGCGGGCGGCAAGAGAGGAGCGCACAGAGGACGGCGAACGGGGUGUAGCACCACGUGGUACCCACGGUCGGUCUAGCUCGUGCCCGAGACGGAAGCAGCCGCCGCCGCCCCAAGGAGAGGAGGCGGCUCGUCGUCGCCGCCACACCCUGCGUCGCCCUAGCCGGACGGUCUCCCAGGAGAGGAGGCAGCUCGUCGCCGCAGGCGGGCCCUGUGUCGUUCGAGCCGCACCGCUACCUAAAGAGACCGCCCAGUAAGCUUUGGCGGCUACACGGCUGCUGAGGAGUGGAUACAAGGAGUUAGACAUCGGCGCUCUGUGACUUUCUCGGUACCAAGAGAGACAUGUAUUUCUUUAGAAGAGUUAAAGUACGAAGCUCCUGCGCUCCUACACUUAGUUGUAUCACGUCUACGGUUAUUGUACGUUUCUACGGUUCCUUUCGGGAAGACCUCCAAUCACUCCUUGAAUGAUUUCCGUGGUACCUUAUAUAACAACAGCUCCUUCAUUUACAAUGAAUACCUGCUCAAUUGCCUUACGGUAAGAUUAAAAAUGCUGUACUUAUACAUGAUACAAAGGAUCUACAAGUGAAGUAUCGGAAAAGCAACAUCCCCGUAAAAAUAACGGAUUAAACGAGGUAUUAACUCAACCCUUUUUAUCUAUUGAAGUCUUACAGUAGGUCACUUAAUACCUCUCAAUAAAUCUAAGUCUUAACCAAAAGACCUAGACGAGCAUACC